Molecule: ribosomal RNA, 546 nt
Filed under: uncultured bacterium
Lineage: Bacteria
Description: bacterial SSU rRNA
Rfam family: Bacterial small subunit ribosomal RNA
Source: RNAcentral
GGGGAAUAUUGCGCAAUGGGGGCAACCCUGACGCAGCCAUGCCGCGUGAAUGAAGAAGGCCUUCGGGUUGUAAAGUUCUUUCGGUAGCGAGGAAGGCACUUAGUUUAAUAAACUAGGUGAUUGACGUUAACUACAGAAGAAGCACCGGCUAACUCCGUGCCAGCAGCCGCGGUAAUACGGAGGGUGCGAGCGUUAAUCGGAAUAACUGGGCGUAAAGGGCACGCAGGCGGUGACUUAAGUGAGGUGUGAAAGCCCCGGGCUUAACCUGGGAAUUGCAUUUCAUACUGGGUCGCUAGAGUACUUUAGGGAGGGGUAGAAUUCCACGUGUAGCGGUGAAAUGCGUAGAGAUGUGGAGGAAUACCGAAGGCGAAGGCAGCCCCUUGGGAAUGUACUGACGCUCAUGUGCGAAAGCGUGGGGAGCAAACAGGAUUAGAUACCCUGGUAGUCCACGCUGUAAACGAUGUCGAUUUGGGGGUUGAGCUUUGAGUUUGGCGCCCAUAGCUAACGUGAUAAAUCGACCGCCUGGGGAGUACGGCCGCAAGGUUA